GAUGAACGCUGACAGAAUGCUUAACACAUGCAAGUCAACUUGAACUUCGGUUUGGGUGACGGACGGGUGAGUAACGCGUAAAGAACUUGCCUCACAGUUAGGGACAACAUUUGGAAACGAAUGCUAAUACCUGAUAUUAUGAUUUUAGGGCAUCCUAGAAUUAUGAAAGCUAUAUGCGCUGUGAGAGAGCUUUGCGUCCCAUUAGCUAGUUGGAGAGGUAACGGCUCACCAAGGCGAUGAUGGGUAGCCGGCCUGAGAGGGUGAACGGCCACAAGGGGACUGAGACACGGCCCUUACUCCUACGGGAGGCAGCAGUGGGGAAUAUUGGACAAUGGACCAAGAGUCUGAUCCAGCAAUUCUGUGUGCACGAUGAAGUUUUUCGGAAUGUAAAGUGCUUUCAGUUGGGAAGAAAAAAAUGACGGUACCAACAGAAGAAGUGACGGCUAAAUACGUG
RNAcentral lists this ribosomal RNA (454 nucleotides) under uncultured bacterium. Its description in RNAcentral is "partial 16S ribosomal RNA". It matches the Rfam family "Bacterial small subunit ribosomal RNA", at positions 28 to 507 of the family's 1533-position model. The record is from RNAcentral.